GAGCUGGUUCGAAUGUUAUUUUAAUUGAAAAUUACAUGAGAAUAGGAUACUAUAUGCCUAGGAGGAUCUAGCCAGCAUUGAAAGGGUUACUCAGUUGAUCUGUUAGCCAAGGUUUUACUCUAUGUGAAGUUUGCUUUCUGUGUCUGCGAAAUACCUCAUUAAUCUUGUCUUGACAGUUGAUGCUCUAGCUUUGUAAUGUGUUUAGCCAUUGCCAUUGUAUUACAUACUUAUGUUAUACUAAAUAUUCACUGAUUAUUAUCAUGCAUGCUGCCUAAUAUUAUUGUUAUUUAAUUUAUCACAAUAAAU
Molecule: non-coding RNA, 306 nt
Organism: Pelobates cultripes (western spadefoot toad)
Lineage: Eukaryota; Metazoa; Chordata; Amphibia; Anura; Pelobatidae
Source: the annotation of a GenBank genome assembly